Non-coding RNA from Sander lucioperca (pikeperch), 451 nucleotides. NCBI's taxonomy places the organism in Eukaryota, Metazoa, Chordata, Actinopteri, Perciformes, Percidae. The record is from the annotation of a RefSeq genome assembly.
UUAGUUCAGUCUGACAAAGUCAGAGAGCCGUGUCUCUCUACAGUGAGAGGUUUUUGUACGGCGGCUCAAUGACUUUGUAUCACUGUGGUACACGUUCGGUGGAGGAACCAGACUGAAUGUUGGAAGUGAUGUCCGUCCCACCCUGACGGUGCUGCCCCCCUCCAGUGAGGAGCUGCUGAAGGGGAAGGCCACGCUCAUGUGCCUGGCCAACAAGGGCUUCCCCUCAGACUGGAGUCUGGCCUGGAAGGUGGACGGCAGCAGCAGCAGCUGGGAGGAGAGCAGGAGCCCCGGGGUGCUGGGGAAGGACGGCAAAUACAGCUGGAGCAGCACCCUGAGGCUCCCUGCAGACCAGUGGGAGAAGGUGGGCUCUGUGACCUGUGAGGCCACCCAGGGCUCCCAGACUCCACUCUCAGAGACACUGAGGAGAGACCAGUGUUCCCAGUCCUGACCU